This 89-nucleotide non-coding RNA is filed under the name uncultured Peptoniphilus sp. RNAcentral's name for it is "THF riboswitch". It matches the Rfam family "THF (Tetrahydrofolate) riboswitch aptamer". Rfam says of the family: THF riboswitch presents a pseudoknot that joins P1-P2 and the loop of P3 and two THF binding. The record is from RNAcentral. Lineage: Bacteria; Bacillati; Bacillota; Tissierellia; Tissierellales; Peptoniphilaceae.
CAGAGUAGGUAAAGAGCGUCAAGUGCUAAGAAAUGGGUUGUUGUUCUUAGACGAAAGCAUAGUCUUAUGAUUCUUUAUUGCGGCCGCUG